RNAcentral lists this long non-coding RNA (3468 nucleotides) under Nicotiana benthamiana. Its description in RNAcentral is "long non-coding RNA (NBEN_LNC026227)". The record is from RNAcentral. Lineage: Eukaryota; Viridiplantae; Streptophyta; Magnoliopsida; Solanales; Solanaceae.
UUCAAACUCAUCCAAAUCCUUGUCUACCUUCAAUGUCAGUUGAUGAAGAACCUUGCCAUUGAUAACUAAAAAUCACCAUAAGCAAUAUGUUACAUCUAAUUUCACUAUCCUUACAAAUGGCAUAUAAAUUAUGAUUGUUACCGCAUAUAAGCGGUUUACAAAGCACACAUGGAGAGCAAUUUCUAAUUCACACCAACUCGCUUAGCUCCAUGCUAUGUAUCCUUCAAAAUAUUCGUGAUCUCCCUCAAGUUUCUGUACUGAAAGAGCCAAGAAAUACAAAUUAUAAACAACAACCACCUAAUGGGAUCACUAACGACACAUCAGACAGAAUCUUCGCAAGGUAAAGUCUUAAUACACUUCUGUUAAUUCAACAAUCACUAACCAUAGAAAAAUUAGCUCACAACGAAGACACGGCACAGUUAACACACAUCAGAUAGAAUCUUCGCAAGGUAAAGUCUUAAUACACUUCUGUUAAUUCAACAAUCACUAACCACAGAAAAAUUAGCUCACAACAAAGACACGGCACAGUUAACGGAGAAAGUUCUGGAGCAGUAUCAGGAUCAAAUUCAAAGAUAGCCUAUUGAUAUCAAUCAGCGUGAAAAUUGGAUGUUUGAAAAUGAAUUGAAUGCACACAACUGGAUUCUCAAGAGUUGGUAUAUGAAAUGAAGACAAAUAGACAAUCCACAACUAAUGCACCAGCUGUUGUGAAAGCUAAAUUACCAGCUGAUGCUUCGGGCAAUCUGUUAUAGAAAAAGGUCUUGUGAUUGUUGGUGUUCCGACAGGCCCUGAUGUUGGACAAAACUCUAAGGAAGUUGGGCAUCAAAAAACAGUAAUUGAUUGUUCCAGUAAUUGAUUGUUCCAUUGCUGAUCCACAAUCAACCCUGUUGAACCCACCAGUAGUUGAUCUAGGGGAAAAUUUUGAUCAGCUAAUAAUCUGUCUAUUCUGAAUGUAGUUAGAUGCUUUAUUGUCUGAAGUAUUUUCUGCUUAUAAUAGGAUGUUUUUCUUUGUCAUUAUGGGCAAAAAUCUUGAACAGUGGAGCAAACAAGUUGCUGAGUACUAAAUUAUUUCCUUUGUGAUGAUUGCAGUUUCAUGCUAUGCUGAAGGAACUGAUUCACAAGGCAAUUAGUGAGACUGCGGCAAGUUCCCUUCUUUUUCUAAUUACUGUUCCGAGCUUAUGAUACAUAAUUGCUGUGAACGUCUCAUUAUAAUACUCCAUUAUUUUGGUGUGUUAAAGGGUCCAACAACUGGACACGUGCUUCUAUGUGCAGGAGCUAAAGCAGUAUCCAUCCCUACGAGUAGAGGUCAACAAUGCUUCUGUUGAAUCAUUAUAAAGGAUGGGGGAUGAAAGCAAAAAAAAGUAGUAUCCCUACCUACGAGUAGAGGUCAGCAAUGCAGUUGUUGAAUCAUUAGAAAGGAUGAGGGAUGAAGGCAAAAGAGCAACUCUUCAGCUGGUUGAAAAGGAGUGUAUGGAAAAAAGAGCUGGACAAGUGCUCGAUCCAAGGUAAUCUGGUGCAAAUCCAGCUGAAGAAACUGUUGUGGUGAAUGCAAGUUUGGAGACUACUAAUGCGGUGAAUGCAACUGGUGUGAUCAGGGAGAUAAGGGCAGAAGACUAGACAAAUAUGUCCAGUAAAAAAAGGCACUCCAAAAAAUAAAAAAAAUGCAGCAGGAUGGCUCAAGAGACAGUACAUGUGCACGAAGUACAAAUCUAUUUGCUGCUCUUGCUAAUGUGAAUGAUGAGGAAGAUUAUGGUGAUGCGUAUGUUGGAAAUUCGAGUGAGGAUGAUGCUCACGAGAGUGAAGAUGAAGGCAUACUCUCAGUUGGUUCACCAUCUUUACCAAAAAUAGGCAGUCCUGCAAUAGCAAUUUCCAGCAGCAAACUAAACGCAAAGCACCAGUUUUUGUGCCUAAAGCUGGACAACAACAAUGUGGAACAACUACAGCAGGUGAUUCUCUAAGAAAAAACUGCCAAACCAAGUAGGCCCAAGCAACAGGGGAGUACUACAAUCACACAAAUAGCAAACUAAAUGCAAACUAAAUGCAAAAGCACCAGUUUUUGUGCCUAAAACUGGACAGCAACAAUGUGGAACAACUACAACAGGUGAUUCUCUAAGAAAAAAUGCAAAACCAAGUAGGCCCAAGCAACAGGGGAAUACUACAAUCACACAAGUUGUUACCUGUGUGGAGGAACAAAAUAUAGCAACCACACUGAACUCAGCAAAUGUCAUACCAAAUUAGAACACAUUCAAACAAACAACGCAACAUAAAACAUUGAGAUAUACAAAUAGGAUUGCAAUUGCCCAAGCAAACAUAAUACCAAACUCGAAAACAAAACAUAGGAGUCAUAUCUAAUAGCCAUUUGAUCACAACAAAUGCGUAUGGAAUCCACUAGUCUAAAACACCAAAAUUGCAGUAAGUUGAAAUUGCCACUCAAUCCAAGUAAUGAACAAAGAUGUUUUAGAAAAUAUUUUCUACAAGCCACCUAUAUAACUAAACGCCUAAUGUUCAACUUAUGUACCAUGUUUUCAUCCCAUUCAUUUCCAUUAAUAAGAGUUCUCUGUCUGAGCUUUUUAUCUCAACUUAUGUACAAGUUUUUCACUAAACACAAAUAGCAAUUCACGAAGGUGCUUUCGGCACUCUUCUAUAGCACACAAACAAGACUGCUAGUCACAUGGAUUAUUUAAUCCAUGGAGAAGGCAAAAACACACAUCAACGAAGCAAAAGAAGGAAAUUAAAAUCUGCCGCUGAGGGUACCGAAUCGCAAUUUAAUAUAAACUUCAGAAAAUUACAUUAUCAAACUAGGAAUCCCAACCCAAUAAUCUUUUCACUGAUUUUGUAAAAGAAAAAAAUACCAAAAUAUGAAACCUUACCAAGUUUUUUAUGUUAGAGAAGAAAAAGAAGAUCGAAGAACUCGAAGGAGCGAAUCAAUCAGUAAAAAGAGAAACUCGAAAGAGGGCCAUACCACGGAUUCUUAACGAGCGAGAUGGAAACUUGAAAAUAUUCACACACCACAAGAUUCACAACUUGUGUUUUGAGAAAAUACCGUAAAGACGACGGGCAGAGCUUGGCGGAAACUAGGGCUGAGCUUCGACUUGUGUUUCAGAAUACAGAGAGUUACGCGGAUUCUCAACGAGCGAGAUGGAAACUUGGGCAAAUUCAUACACCGCCAAAUUCACAAGUUGUGUUGCUCUGAUCGUAAGCAAACUCAGUUUCAAUUGAGAUUUCAAUUGAGAGGGUGUGAGUUUGAGUUUCCCAAGAACAAGGUGAUAAGUUCUGCCUAUUCAGAAACAGGCUCUUUAUACUAAAUGUAAUUAUAGUGAGUUGUUGUUGUUUUGAGAAAACACAGUACAGAGGCGAUCGGCAGAGCUUGGCGGAGCUUGUGCGUGGAAAGUAGCUAGGGCUGCAGUCGCGAUUAGAAUACAGAGAGUUUAAUUUUUUGACUUUUCAAAAUUUUUUAUUUCAAUAUAGGAG